CAGUAGUCACCCGGGGCGCCGCAAGGCCUCCCGGGUAACCUACCACCCUUUGUUUAUUACACUUUGUUGCUUUGGCAGGCCUGCCCUCGGGCUGCUGGCUCCGGUCGGCGCGCGCCCGCCAGAGGCCCGACAAAUUCUGAUUGUCAGUGUCGUCUGAGUACUAUAUAAUAGUUA
RNAcentral lists this unclassified non-coding RNA (174 nucleotides) under uncultured Geomyces. RNAcentral describes it as "sequence contains ITS1". The record is from RNAcentral. Lineage: Eukaryota; Fungi; Ascomycota; Leotiomycetes; Myxotrichaceae.